UUACAUUAAAAAAAAAAAAAGUUUAUAUUUCCAUUCUAUGCAUUUUGUCAAAAGAUUAAAAAAAAAUAACCUUUAAAUGCGUUUACUCAUAACAAUUGAAGGCUAACCAUUCAUCAACCAGGAUGCAAGACCCAUGUAGCAUGAAGCAUGGGUGGUGUAUUGGUUGGUAAGCAAGAUUUGUGUGCACUUGCUUCACUUCUCUCAAGUACAAGCUUAUGUGUUUUGUUUAAUCAUUUUAAGAGGUUGGUGGCAGUUGUUAAUAUGCAUGAGCUCAUUUUAUAGAAAUUCUAGCAAUAAUAAAAUAAUAAAUAUACUCUAAUAACAGUAUUUCUUUUUUUUCCAAUAAAAUUGUUAAAUUUACUGACCAUUUGUUUGUGGAAAAAGGGGUGUGAUGCAUCCAUACUUAUAGAUGGAAUCAAUAGUGAGAAAACAGUACCACCAAAUCUGAGUGUUAGGGGAUAUGACAUUAUCGACCAAGCAAAGGCUGCUGUGGAGAACGCUUGCCCUGGCGUUGUAUCUUGUGCUGAUCUCAUUGCAAUAGCUACUAGAGAUGCUGUUUUCUUGAGUGGCGGAGGAAGAUACGAAGUUGAAACAGGAAGAAGGGAUGGUUUAGUUUCCAUAGCUCAAAAUGUAAGUAUCCUAGGGCCUAAAAUAUCAGCUCCCGAGGCCAUUGCAGGAUUUGCUGAUAAAGGGCUUAAUGCUACAGACACGGUGCUUCUUCUAGGUGCCCAUUCUGUUGGAGUUACUCAUUGUUCUCUGAUCAAAGACCGUGUCUACAAUUUUCAAGGCACUGGCAGUCCUGAUCCAGCCAUGGAUCCUUUCCUAGUUAAUAUCCUGAGAUCAAGGUGUCCUCAGAUUUCCCCUGUAGACAACACAGUUAAUCUUGAUCAAAAUCCAUUUAGUCCCUUCUUCUUGGACGUUUCAUACUAUCGAAAUAUAAUGCUGCACAGAGGCAUUCUCCAAAUUGACCAACAGCUGGGAAUGGACCCAUUGACUACGCCCAUAGUGAGAAAUCUAGCUGGGGAAUUUGAUUUCCCUACCAGGUUUGGUGCUGCCAUGGUUAAAAUGGGAGCUAUAGGAGUUCUUACUGGCACACAAGGAGAGAUUAGGAGAUCAUGUAGAGCUACUAAUUAAUGGAUCAUGAUCUACUUAUUUUUAGUAUUGACACUUCUUGUAUAAUAAGCCUUUAGUUAAAACUUUUAUAAAAUCUAAUUGUAAAAGUAAAAAGUUUAAUCAUAUAUAUACAUAUAUGCUUUUCU
RNAcentral lists this unclassified non-coding RNA (1259 nucleotides) under Hevea brasiliensis (rubber tree). The record is from RNAcentral. Lineage: Eukaryota; Viridiplantae; Streptophyta; Magnoliopsida; Malpighiales; Euphorbiaceae.